Non-coding RNA from Pelobates cultripes (western spadefoot toad), 275 nucleotides. NCBI's taxonomy places the organism in Eukaryota, Metazoa, Chordata, Amphibia, Anura, Pelobatidae. The record is from the annotation of a GenBank genome assembly.
CUUUUAAAAUGUCUAGGCCUCCUCAGAUUCUCAUUUUUCACCCACGUACUGUAUAAAUGCAUUAUAAGACAAAAAGCUUGAGUCUCCACGGGUUAAAGUAAUGCCAGUAUGAGCCACGGCGGUCAGAAUAUUCCCUCUACAGCAUUCCAAACCACAAGAAUGUGUUAUUCUGACAAUAAGAUGCUAACAGAAACAGUGUAGACUUUCUAUGUGAGUCACAACAGAAGUUCAUUUUCUUAUUAGCUUCUCCUACUUCCUAAAUAUCACAAGUUAAA